GAUGAACGCUGGCGGCGUGCCUAAUACAUGCAAGUCGAGCGAACAGACGAGGAGCUUGCUCCUCUGACGUUAGCGGCGGACGGGUGAGUAACACGUGGAUAACCUACCUAUAAGACUGGGAUAACUUCGGGAAACCGGAGCUAAUACCGGAUAAUAUAUUGAACCGCAUGGUUCAAUAGUGAAAGACGGUUUUGCUGUCACUUAUAGAUGGAUCCGCGCCGCAUUAGCUAGUUGGUAAGGUAACGGCUUACCAAGGCAACGAUGCGUAGCCGACCUGAGAGGGGGAUCGGCCACACGGGAACGGAGAAACGGCCCAGACUCCUACGGGAGGCAGGAGGAGGGAAUUUUCCGAAAGGGGGGAAAGCCUGACGGAGAAACGCCGCGUGGGGGAGGAAGGUUUUGGGAUCGUAAAACUUUUUUUUUAGGGAAAAAAAAAUGGGAAAGUAACUAUGCACGUUUUGACGGUACCAAACCAAAAAACCACGGCUAACUACGU
This 496-nucleotide ribosomal RNA is filed under the name uncultured bacterium. RNAcentral's name for it is "partial 16S ribosomal RNA". It matches the Rfam family "Bacterial small subunit ribosomal RNA", at positions 28 to 506 of the family's 1533-position model. The record is from RNAcentral.